RNAcentral lists this ribosomal RNA (253 nucleotides) under uncultured bacterium. Its description in RNAcentral is "partial 16S ribosomal RNA". It matches the Rfam family "Bacterial small subunit ribosomal RNA", at positions 524 to 776 of the family's 1533-position model. The record is from RNAcentral.
GACGUAGGGGGCUAGCGUUGUCCGGAAUCAUUGGGCGUAAAGCGCGUGUAGGCGGUUCGGUAAGUCCGCUGUGAAAGUCGGGGGCUCAACCCUCGGAUGCCGGUGGAUACUGUCGGGCUUGAGUACGGAAGAGGCGAGUGGAAUUCCUGGUGUAGCGGUGAAAUGCGCAGAUAUCAGGAGGAACACCAAUUGCGAAGGCAGCUCGCUGGGACGUUACUGACGCUGAGACGCGAAAGCGUGGGGAGCAAACAGG